RNAcentral lists this long non-coding RNA (1061 nucleotides) under Monodelphis domestica (gray short-tailed opossum). Its description in RNAcentral is "lncRNA (ENSMODG00000039956.1)". The record is from RNAcentral. Lineage: Eukaryota; Metazoa; Chordata; Mammalia; Didelphimorphia; Didelphidae.
GUGUGAUGCUGGAAUAGGGAAGGCUUCCAUGAGGAAGGAAUAGAGCAUCUACCAUAACAUGAUUAGUGCAGCAGUCCAGGUCUCUCUUUGCUGGUCUUGGAUCAUUUUCUUUACUGGGUCACAGGAUGGAUAGAUGAUAGGAGAGAGACAGAGAGAGAGAGAGGAAGGCAGAGGCGGGGAAGGGAGAUGGUGAGACACACAGAGAGAGACAGACAGAGAGAGACACACACAGAGACAGAGAAAGAGAAGACAGAGAGACAGAGAGAGACAGAGAGGGGCGGGAGAGGGGGGGAGAAAGAGAGGGGGAGAGAGGAAAAAAGAGAGAGAGAGAGAGAGACAGAGAGGGAGAAAGAGAGAGACAGAGAGAGAGAGGAAGAGAGAGAGAGAGAGGGAGAGAGAGAGAGAGAAGAUGGUAUUUAGAGAGAGAAAAGAUAGAGAGAAAGAGGAGAGGGGACAGAAAGAGUAAGAGACAGAGACAGAGACAGAGAAAGAGAGAGAGAGAGACAGAGAGAGACACACACAGAGACAGAGAGAAAGAGAAGAGAGAGAGAGAGAGGGAGAGAAGGAGGGGGGAGAGAGAGAAAGAGAGAGGGGGAGAAAGAAAGGAAGAGAGAGGAAGAAAGAGAGAGAGAGAGAGGGAGAGAGACAUAGAGAGACACAGAGAGAGACACACACAGAGACAGAGAGAAAGAGAAGAGACAGAGAGACAGAGAAAGAAAGAGAGAGGGAGAGAAGGAGAGACGGGGGGGAGAGAGAGGGGGGAGAAAGAAAGGAAGAGAGAGAGGAAGAAAGAGAACGAGAGAGAGGGAGAGAGACAGAGAGAGACACAGAGAGAGACACACACAGAGACAGAGAGAAAGAGAAGAGACAGAGAGACAGAGAAAGAAAGAGAGAGGGAGAGAAGGAGAGAGAGAGAGGGAGAGAGAGGGGGGAAAAAGAAAGGAAGAAAGAGGAAGAAAGAGAGAGAGAGAGAGAGGGAGAGGGAGAGGGGGGAGGAGAGAAGUGUAUUGAUAGAGAUCUAUUCUUCUCUCUUUUUGUAUGCUCUCCUAUUAAUAGAAACU